This 231-nucleotide unclassified non-coding RNA is filed under the name Hevea brasiliensis (rubber tree). Lineage: Eukaryota; Viridiplantae; Streptophyta; Magnoliopsida; Malpighiales; Euphorbiaceae. The record is from RNAcentral.
AAAAAGGAAAUAGCUGGCGAAGUUAAAAAAGAAUUGGUUUCUGAAGAGCCUACUAGCUCUUCUGCAUCAACAGCGAAGGUUAGACGUGAUAAUAUGAAGGAUAGAGGUUCUUCUAUAAAAUCUAGAGGAUAUCAUGGCGUCAUGAGCAAUGUGGGCAAUAUGUCUGUAUCAUCAAAUCCUCGCAAUGCGGAGAGUAGAAUUGCACCUUCAAGAUCACAGACUAAACCUCAG